UGCAGGGUGCUGAUUGGCGUUACCCUGAUUGUGUUUUGUUGCCAGCUCAAAAAACAGAUCAGGGUGCAAUGCCAGCUGACAAGCGAGAGAGCAAGAAAAGAGAUUCUGAUCAAGUUAUCUAUGACUGGUAGAUGAAAACUGUGGAGAACCGAACCAGAGAGCGGACAACGAGAGCCUACCAAUACCGAGUAAAUUACGUACAUGUAUACACAUUCUAGUUUAGUACUCUUUAUACUGUGAAGCUGUGAAGACGAGACAAUAAAUUACCGGAGUAAUAUACUAUACACGAUUGUUUUAUUAUUCACGCAAACAAGUAGAUUCUUACAGUGGCGACGAGCAUCGGUUUUUCUGCAUCGGAUUUUUCUUGGCGAGUCAAAAGCAGCGAGUUGCAAAUCAGCACAACUGUCGACUCGAAGCAACGAGUUGAUACAUACAUACAUAGUUGAUGAAAUAGCGAAGGAGAAAAUAUUUCUCUACAUUCAGCAAACCAGCACAACUGUCAAUAAGAGACGUAGCAAACAAAAAUAAAAAAAGUAAACAAGCUAAUAAGCAAAGGCCAUUCAAUUGGCGCAACUGAAUAAGUAAAGAGGCUGCCCAUUAAAUUGGUUUGUUGAGCGACAAAUACAGUGGCCAUUAAAUUGGGAAAGCAUUUAAUUGGAAAUUAAAAGCCACUGAACAGGUAAAAUAAACUUCUGUCCGGGGCAUUAAAUUGGCUAAAGAAGAAAUAAAAGCAAGCAAGAUGAGCGAAAUUAAACCAUUCCUGUGCGAUAGCAUUGAUAGGGCGUUAUUACGAGGCGAGUGGGAAAAAUGACUGAGAUCGUUUACUCUGUAUCUUCAAUCGGAAGAUUUUACAAAUGAGGUAAAGCGAAGAAACAAACUGCUUCACUUAGGUGGGCCACAACUACAAGAUGUAAUUUAUAAUAUCCCUGGGGCCAUUGUGGAAGUUGACACUGAACAGCCGGUCGAUGUAUUUAAUAUUUUAGUCGAGAAAUUAAAUAAUUUCUUUUCGCCAAAACGAAACUCCUCAUUUGAGAGACACACCUAUAGAAACAUAGGGCCUUUGGAGAACGAAAAUUUUAACAAUUUCUUGUUGCGUUUGAGGUACCAAGCUUCUAAAUGUCAUUUUGGCGAAACAAAAAGCGAAAUAGAAGACAUCGCUCUAAAAGAUAAACUCAUUGAGUCGUGGGCUCCAGUGGAGCUUAAAAAACGCUUACUUGAAAAAGAACACGACUUGAAAGAAAUUAUUGAUGCUUGCCAGAUUCAUGAGCAGAUAUAUAAACAAUCGCAGGACAUGUUGCCUAAAAAAGAGGGUGAAGAAGUAAACAGGGUGGUUGCAAAAUCAAAAGGGAGCAGGAAUAAUAGGGGUGAGUGUGGUAGAUGUGGUCAGGCGGGGCGCGUGAGUUCUGACAUUAAUUGUCCAGCAAGAAAUGCUAAAUGCAAUAAAUGUGGAUUAAUAGGGCAUUACUUACGUAAAUGCAAAACAAAGAGUUUUAAAAGAAAACUCGGCGAUGUAAAAUACAAUAAUUCGAAACAGCGCCGAUUACAUCCGUCAAAAGUUAGGUGUAUCGAAAAAGCUAACAACGACUCAUCACAUGAUUCCCUAGAAUAUGAUUGCCUUCAAGUGGAAUCGUGCGAAUCGACGAAUGAGUUGAUAAGUUGCCACAUUGGUGGACAUACUGUCCCUAUGAUAAUAGAUUCAGGAUCUAGGUUUAACUUGUUAGGUCAAGAGGUUUGGAAUGCGUUGAAUGCCAGUAAAGCAACCAUUUGGGACAUCCGCACGGAGUCAGUAAAUCAAUUUAAGGGUUAUGCAGCUAAUAAAAUUUUAACAGUCUUAUAUGUUUUCGAGGCACCAAUAGGGGUGAGAAGGGUACGGAAGUUAUCGCUACUUUUUAUGUAAUAAAAGAUGGGAAACAAUCUCUUCUCGGCCGAGAUACUGCCAAUUUUGGAGUUUAGAGCACCGCAAACAAAAGAAGAAACAAGAAGCUUUCUUGGCCUCAUCACGUACAUCGGAAAUUUUAUACCGGAUAUGGCUGAUACGACAGAGCCGCUGAGAAAGCUACUUAACUUAGAUGCAAAAUUUAUAUGGGGCCCCACACAACAAAACGCUUUUGCAAAACUGAAACAUCUUUUAUCAAACAUACCCACCUCAUCAUAUUUUGAUCCCUCAAAUAAAGCAAGGGUCAUUGCAGAUGCGAGUUCUGUGGCUUUGGGUGCAGUCCUUAUACAGUUCAAUUCUAACAAUGAACCGAAUAUUAUUUCUUUUGCCAGUAAAAGCCUUUCGGAGGUAGAAAAAAGAUAUUCUCAAACAGAAAAAGAAAGUUUGGCGCUUGUAUGGGCUGUCGAGAGGUUCUAUUACUAUUUAGUACGACUAGACUUUGAAUUGGUCACCGAUCAUAAGCCGCUUGAAACCAUAUUUAAGCCAACUUCAAAACCACCUGCGAGAAUUGAACGGUGGCUCUUGAGGCUUCAGUCGUUUAAAUUUAAAGUUAUAUACCGCUGAGGAAAAGAAAAUAUUGCGGACUCCCUUUCGCGGUUAUGCAAAUUGGAAAGAGCGAAGUCCUUUGAUGACAACGUAGAGAAAUCUAUUUUUCACAUAAUUUCCAAUCGAUAGAAAGAAAACAGAGUUUUCUACCCCGAUAGGACAUUAUGAAUUCUUAAGAAUGCCAUUCGGUUUUAAAAAUGCUCCAUCGACAUUCUAACCUCUUAUGAACUCAGUAUUUCGAGAUUUUAUUAACAAAAUAUGUAUUGUAUAUCUAGACGACAUAUUGAUUUUUACCGUGCGAUUCUGUAACGUGAGACAGUCUCAUGUCUAGAAUAUUCUAGAAUAGCUUGUCCAAUGGUCGCAUAUCUGACAAAAGAUGCAAAAAUUAACGUUAAUAACCCAAUUUAAAAAAUAUUAUAACAAAUCCCUCCAUAUCCAUUUUUUACAAAAAGAUUUAAUUUAGCUACAGACGCUAGGAACUUUGCUAAUGGCGCAGUUCUCACACAAGAUGGCCAUCCGAUUUCGUAUGCUUCACGUACAUUAAAUACCCACAAGAAAAACAACUCAACCAUCGAAAAAGAACUAUUAUCGAUAGUGUGGUCAGUAAAGUACUAUAGACCUUAAUUAUACUGUAGAGAUUCGAUCUAAAAACAGAUCACCAACCACUUUAAUUGUUACAGAAAAAAAAUUCUGGUAAGAAUAUAAAUCCAAGGUUACAACGUUGGUUAGUGCAAUUAGGAGAGUACGAUGCAAAAAUCGAUUAUAUAACCAGUAAAGAAAAUAAAAUAGCUGAUUUUUUAAGUCGAAUUAACAUGGUGAACUCCGAAAAUUUGGGAAUGAUCCUUAACAAAUUGUUACAAAUAAAAGAUUUAAACGCUGGUGAACAACAAGACCAAACAAUGCUUUCAUUGGCAGUUCAAACUAGCCAUUCUCAUGGAAAUUUUCGUAAUCAUUUUAACAUCCUCAAUACAGUCGUAAAUUAUUUGAUUUGAAGGUACCGUUGGAAAGAGGAAGGCCUCCUAAUUAAAAAAUUUAGGGGUUAUAGGUACCGCAAACGCUUAGUUUACGAGGUAUUCGACCUUAAACUUCAAAAAUUCGAACAUUUCAAGAAGCUACUUCACCACAUUAAACACACUUUAUUCACAUUUUUCACUUCAAAUUAACUAAAUUACACUAAAAACUUUUAAAUAAAUCCAUAUUUUACACUUUUAGCAGGUUUUUUUUUACCUAAAAAACAUCUUCAUUUUAAAAAUUACAUUUUACACUCGUUUGAACCAUGCGCUAGUUAAUUUUUACAUUGAGUAAAAAUGAGUCAAAAGAAUACAUUUUGAGCUGCACCGAAAUGUGUACUCUUUAUUUAUACUCUUAAGACUAACUUAUUACAUGUUUCUUAUUUCUAUUUAUACUAAUUAGAAUGUUUACUUAUUACUAGUUUCUUUAGAUACAGAUUCUAUUAUUUGUUUAGGUUUGUAUACAUAUACAAGUAUAUUGUUUGCUUAGAUAUAUUUUUUUUGUUUUGAGGUAAGGUUGUUGUGGUAUUUAAAAUCAAUGUUGUUUUGAUACUUAUUUGUUUAGGAUGGUUUGUUGUAGUGAUAGUGCAUUUCAAUUGCUCCAACUCAAGGUUGUUUGCAUUCUGUUUACUGAAACAAAAGGUUGUUUUGCUGUUUGUUACUAUUAUAAGGAAUACGUUCCUUAACUCUCCCCUAUGUUAAAAUGAAAUGUCCUCAUUUCAAAACAUCUAGGCUUGAGUCGGCUUAUAAUAAUUAAUUAUUGUAUACAUACUUAUGUUGGAUUAAUUUUUUGUGUUUAUAAUAUAUACCUUUUUAUAUUAUAAAGUAAAUUCUAAUUUUUGCGUGUUUCUUAUGAUGCUUUAUUUUCUCUUAUAAUUUAGUUUUUAAUUAGCGUUAAUUUUCUAGAAUUCAACAACCGUUUUCAUUUUUGGCUUGCCUUGUUUUCGGUGCCUUUUUAGAAUUAUUGGCUGUGUUUAUGGAAAUUUUGACUUUUCGUAUGUGUUUGAUUUUUUUAUGUUUAUAAUUAAUACAUAUCUAUACUUAAUUAUUUUUUCAUGUUUCAUAUGAUGUUUUCUUUUAGUUCGUUUUGAAUUAGCGUUAAUUUUCGAGAAUUCAACAACAAUUUUGCUUUUUGGCUAGCCUUGUUUUCGGUGCCUUUUUUGCAAUUAUUGGCUGUAAUAUUCCGUCUUUUAACAAUUGCUGAAUUUUUUGUUUGACAAAAUCGAUCCACGUCCAUUGGGACUGAUGGAGGUUGUCGAUGUUGAGAUUGAUGCCAAAGAUUUCUUUGUUGAUAUUUGUUUAGUCUUCUUUUCAUCCUUUAAUUUGGUAUGUAGUGAUUCUGGUGUCUCCUCUUGGUGGGAAUAUGUUAACGUUGUCCGCUGUUUCAGGGUCUAUUGCGAAUCUUGGUGAAAAUAUUAUCCAAUAUUUCAGGACUUAUACUUUUGUACCUUGUUCCACUUUUUCAGGAAUUGUCGCUGUCUGCUGUUCCAGGGUCCGUUGUGAAUUUUGUUGAAUUCGCUGCUGUCUGUUUUUUCAGGAUCUGCUUUGAUUCAUUCUGGAUGUAUUGUCCGCUGUUACAGGACUUAUACUUACAUCCAUUGCCAUUUGUUUCUGCACUUUUUUCAGACAUUUAGUGCUGGAAGUCCUGCUUCCUGUGGAAUUUUUUGAUGUAGUCCUUUUGGAAUAAAAUGUGGCUUUUUUGAUAGCAAAUAAAUUUGCCAUCCCGGUUGAGCCCCCAGUUAAUUUUUACAUUAAGUAAAAAUUAGUCAAAAGAAUAUAUUUUGGGCUGCAUCGAAAUGUGUACUCUUAAGACUAACUUAUUGCAUGGUUUUAACUUCUAUGUAUUUAUACUAACGAGUAUGUUUACUUAUUACUAGUUGAUAGUUUGUUUACAGAUUAUAUUAUUUGUUUAGGUUUGUUUACAUAUAUGUAUAUUGUUUGCUUGGAUACAUUUUCUUUGUUUUAAGAUAAGGUUGUUGUGGUAUUCAAACUCAGUGUUGUUUUGAUACUUCUUUGUUUAGGAUUGUUUGUUGUAGUGAUAGUGCAUUUCAAUUGUUCCAACUCAAGGUUGUUUUGAUACAUUCUGUUUACUGAAACUAAAGGUUGUUUUGUUGUUUGUUACUAUUAUAAGGAAUACGUUCCUUAACUCGCUGCCAUGUGAUGAUAAGGCAAUUCGCUGAAAUUCCUCUUUUUCUUAAAAACUCCUCUAUCCAUGCAUAUGUAUUUUUUUGUUUUUUUUUUUGAAUUUAUUAAGCUAAUAAGUAAUAUUAUAUACAUGUGUUAGUAAUAUUAUAUAAUAAUAUUAUAUAUAUACAUAUGUAUAAGUAAUAUUGUAUAAUUAUAUUACGUAUUAAAGUGUAAAGUAUACAGUACAGUACGAAAACUCAAAUUUUUUUCGAUAUGAGUGCAUGAUAACCAAAAAAUAUAACCACUUUGUAAUAAAAACUCAAUAUAUAUUUUUUUAUUUUUAACGCAGAAAGGAGUACUACCCGAAAGUACUUCAGUCAGCCCAAGCAUUCGCUUGGCCAGGGUUAUUUUUUUAGAGCACGGCCGAAGGCCGCCAACAUAGACGGAGAAGGAUAGUACAAAAUUGUAAUAUGCAUAUAAAAAUGUUAUAUUACAACCAAAUAAAUAUUAUAAUAUUCUCAAACAAUUUUAUUUCUCUGUGUUUAUUACAUAUAAAUGACAUAUUAAUCAUAUAUUAAUAUAUGUAUGUAUGUAUAUGGAAGUGUUCACAUAUUUAAUUUUAGCUUGAACAAUCUUCUUUAUAGUUUUUUUUAUAGUUAAUAAAGAAAAAAUAAUCACUCGAAAGUACAAACAAAGAAAACGCUGUGAGACGCCGAAAAAUCCUUCACUUUUGGUUUUUAAGGUGUGGCAAAGCUGAUUUUCCUCUUAAAUAUAAACACUCUAAACUUUUCAGCCAUAAAGUUUAUAAGUGAUUUUUAAAUUAUACUAUGUUCCAACCGACAAUGAAAAUAUGUUUUCGUGGGAAAAACUGGUUUUCGCACGAAAACUACUUGAAAACUUACAUUCCACUGAUUAUAAUCGGUGCCUGCUCCAGUUUAAUCGAUUUUUUUGGAAGACAUAUUUUGCCGGCCCUAAAUUGUCACUUGAUAUUUGUUUACAUUCCAUAUACAUACAAAUACAGCUGCUCACUGUUAAGGGGAUUCUCUUGUUCUUGCAAAACCCUUGCGCGGUGCACCAAUUGCAGAAUUUUCUUCUUGGUGCAACGGCACAACAAACACACGCAAAAAUUUAUUUGCAAUGGCUGUUAAAUAUGUCAGACCAAAACCCAUGUUUAUUUUCAUGCCGUCAUAUAUCACUAGAUUCUGCUCUCUUGGCCUUGCAUAUUUCGGUAUAGCAUUUUUCCAUUUUGUAUCAUCUUGCAAGAGCAAUUGAAUUCCCGUAUUGAUAGUUGUCAGUGAAAAUCAUUGAAAACACACAUUGUCGGUCCGAACGACUUACAUUCCACAACAUACAAAUGUGUUUUCAAAAUGUUUUCAAUGUCGGUCCGAACAUAAUUUUACUAAAUUUAGCUGAAAAUUUACAAAAUAAAUGUGCAAUGUGAGCUUAUUGCAAUGCUUAGAGUAUAUAUUUAAAUACCAGAGUAAAAGACGUGAAAAAUUUAGUAAAACAUAGAGAAAUACCAUGUGCUCUUAG
Molecule: long non-coding RNA, 7152 nt
Organism: Bactrocera dorsalis (oriental fruit fly)
Lineage: Eukaryota; Metazoa; Arthropoda; Insecta; Diptera; Tephritidae
Exons: 3
Source: RefSeq, a predicted model, not a curated record